UUAUUCCUUUUAUUUCCAAAUUAAUUUCUCUCUCAUUUUUAAACAUUUUUAUCCAAAUUUUUUACACAAAGUCUCUAAAAAUAUUUUGAAUCACAUAUAUUUUUUUCAUAAUUUUAAAAAUCAUUUUUACAUUUAUUAAUAUUUUAUUUCUUUUUUAUUUUUUAAUUUUAAUUUUCAAUUUUAUUUUUGAUCAUUUUCAAAUAUUUUGAGAUCCAACUUUUGAGACUUACUUGUAUUUUUUCUUGACUUUCUCUAAUUUUUU
RNAcentral lists this long non-coding RNA (262 nucleotides) under Lathyrus oleraceus (garden pea). RNAcentral describes it as "Pisum sativum (pea) long non-coding RNA (PSAT_LNC016868)". Lineage: Eukaryota; Viridiplantae; Streptophyta; Magnoliopsida; Fabales; Fabaceae. The record is from RNAcentral.